Molecule: ribosomal RNA, 390 nt
Filed under: uncultured bacterium
Lineage: Bacteria
Description: bacterial SSU rRNA
Rfam family: Bacterial small subunit ribosomal RNA
Source: RNAcentral
UCAGGCCUAACACAUGCAAGUCGAACGGUCUUGUUCUGCAAGACAGUGACGGACGGGUGAGUAAUAUGUAAGAAUCAACAUUUGGGUGGGGGACAACACUUGGAAACGAUUGCUAAUACCCCAUAAUGCUUUUAAGCUAAAGAUUUAUUGCCCAGAUAUGAGCUUGCAUCUGAUUAGCUUGUUGGUGAGGUAAUGGCUUACCAAGGCGAUGAUCAGUAGCUGUUUUGAGAAGAUGAUCAGCCACACGGGAAUUGAGAACGGGACCGACUCCUACGGGAGGCAGCAGUGAGGAAUUUUCCGCAAUGGGUGAAAGCCUGACGGAGCAAUGCCGCGUGGAGGAAGAAGGCCUUAGGGUUGUAAUCUCCUUUUCUCAUUGAAGAAGUUCUGACG